Molecule: long non-coding RNA, 1300 nt
Organism: Prunus persica (peach)
Lineage: Eukaryota; Viridiplantae; Streptophyta; Magnoliopsida; Rosales; Rosaceae
Exons: 2
Source: RefSeq, a predicted model, not a curated record
GUAGUCGUCACCCCCAUAUCCCAUCUCACAUAGGGUUAGAAUUUUAGAUCUAUAGAUCGCCAAACCCACCAAACCAAACCAUUUGGUUCAUGACUUUUCACUUAAUUUUUUGUUUCGGCCAACAAAUUGAACUCUAUCAGUUGUGAAGAAUAUUUCAAAUUAUGCUCCAAAAGGGACUCAAACCCUUAACCUGCUUGUUGGAGAGGAGGGCUUCUACCACUUGUUUGGGACUUCUUCUCUAGGAAGCACUUUUGAUCAUAAGAGUUUCUUACAAAAGCGCUUUCAUUAUAAAGAUGUUGAAAUUUUCAUAAGAAAUGCAAAAAUCUUCUUGGGAAAUUACUUGGGAGUGCUUCCUGAAGAAAUACAUAGUAGAUGCUUCUCUAGAAAGCGCUUUCACGACCUAAAAGCACUUCUAACAUUUUCUACCAAACGUGGUCAUAUAAAGUGCUUUUAGUCCUCCAAAAUCAUUCCCAAACAGUCCCACCACUUUAUUCCCUCCGUAUUUUCUUCUCCUUCUCCUUUUGUAUCUUAUCUUCUUCUCCACCUCAUUUUCUCUCUCCUAUAUUCUUCUUCCCCAUUUCUCCUCUCUUCGCAGCUGCGGCCGCACUCCUCUUCAAUUCGAGGCCAUCCUUCUUGUCCUCUCUUCGCAGCCAUCGCACACCAUCUCUUCUUCAUUUGAUGCAGCUGACGCACAUAUCUGCUCUCUCUCUCUCUCUCUCUCUCUCUCUCUCUUGGAUGCUACCGCACAGACAGUGGUUGACUUCGAACGACAGUCGGCAAACCGAUUGUAGAAUUUGGACCACCAUCGGUUCAGUGGUUGGUUUGUGCCCCUAGUGUGCGGUUCUUUUUAGAUAUUGAGAGUCUACCACCAAUAGCAAAUGAGGAGGAAUAAAGAAUGUGUUGCAAGAAGAAGAUAGAAGAUAAGGUGGAUAUUGACUACGUCCAAAGCCCGAAGACAAAGAAAAAGGAUGGAGAGCAACCCGUGUGAUGCAUCCAAAUCCAAACCCAAAGUGGAAGAAAAUUGAAAUUGGACAACAAACAGGAGAGCAGAAACAGGAUAGAAAAUGUAGAAGAAUUGGAGAGAAUCUUGAGGAGCCGAGAGGCAAGGAACGAAGGGGUUUAUGAUACACUUUUUCUCCUUUUUCUCUCUACUUUAAUUUUUCUUUACUUUAGUUUUUAUCUCUUAUUAUGUAGUUUAUUUUUUUAUUUAUUCUAGUUAAAUUAUGUUAAUGGUGAAAUACCAUUAUAAAAUUAAUUUCCUGUUUUUAUCUUUUAAUUUAUAAAUUAUAUUCUUUGAUGU